This 484-nucleotide ribosomal RNA is filed under the name uncultured bacterium. RNAcentral's name for it is "partial 16S ribosomal RNA". It matches the Rfam family "Bacterial small subunit ribosomal RNA", at positions 30 to 507 of the family's 1533-position model. The record is from RNAcentral.
AUUGAACGCUGGCGGCAGGCCUAACACAUGCAAGUCGAGCGGAUGAAGCGAGCUUGCUCCUGGAUUCAGCGGCGGACGGGUGUGUAAUGCCUAGGAAUCUGCCUGGUUGUGGGGUAUAACGUCCGGAAAAGGGCGCUAAUACCGCAUACGUCCUGCGGGAGAAGGUGGGGGAUCUUCGGACCUCACGCUAUCAGAUGAGCCUAGGUCGGAUUAGCUAGUUGGUGGGGUAAGUGCCUACCUAGGCGACGAUUGGUAAGUGGUCUGAGUGGCUGAUCAGUCACACGGGAAGUGAGACACGGUCCAGACGACUACGGGAGGCAGCAGUGUGCAAUGUGAGACAAUGGGGGAGAGCCUGGCCCAGCCGUGCCACGUGUGUGACGACGGUCUUCGGAUUGUAAAGCACUUUUACUUGGGAUAAAGGGCAGUAAGCUAAGACCUUGCGGUUUUGACGUUACCAGCAGAAGAAGCACCGGCUAACUACGUG